AGAAAAGUUCGUACAUAACCGCUUCAUGUUACUUAUGUAAACAACAUUCCCCAGAAAUAGCUCUUUUGAGCACUAUUUAAUUUUGGAUGACAAAAAAAAGAAUAGCUUACAUUAAACUCUUUGUAUUUUGGUACCUUAUUGAUACUACAUAAUUAUGUUUUAUCAUAUCUUUCUGAAUUUUUGAGACAAUUCAUUAAAUAGUUACACUUUCUUUGGUCAAAAGCUAAUAGUUACACACAACGGGCGUAUUCUUUUUUCUAGUCGCACAACCAGCGAUAGCGACAAGAAAAUUAAAAGGCACAUAUGCUUAUCAUCUUCCAAAUCAAAGCUGUUUUGAGAAACUCUGCUUCAGAAACAGAGACGCUGCGACUGAUUAAAUGACAUGCAGCUGUCGCUGAUAUUUUCAGCGAUCGGUUUAAUCAACUCUGCUUGCCCUCGCUUUAGUCUCAGUCUGUCGCUGGUGAUGUUGUUUGCUUUCAUAGAAGUGCAAUUUUCCUGUCGCCGACGCUAAUCGCGCGACUUUGAAAAGAACACGCCCAACACCACAAAAUGGCGGAUUCUCUUUGAAUUUACGUCCUCAGAUCCAGAUCCUCCACCACGUAACCACCAUAAGUGGAUUCCAAAUGAGUCUCUUUCUUGCAUUUUUAUUUCUUUUUGAUUAAGAAGAAUGUAACUAUUUUUUUUAAAGAAAAGAAUGUAACUAUUGAGAGACUACUUUUCGAAUAGCUUACAUUAAAUCUCUCUGAAUUUUGGUACCUUAUUGAUAUUACACAAUUAUGUUUUUAUCAUAUCUUUCUGAAUUUGUAAGACAAUUCAUUAAAUAGUUACACUCCUUUGGUCAAA
This is a long non-coding RNA of Arabidopsis lyrata subsp. lyrata, 843 nucleotides long. RefSeq lists it as uncharacterized. NCBI's taxonomy places the organism in Eukaryota, Viridiplantae, Streptophyta, Magnoliopsida, Brassicales, Brassicaceae. The transcript is spliced from 2 exons. The record is from RefSeq and is a predicted model, not a curated record.